CAAGGGUUCAGGGGAUCUCGUAGUCGAGCAGUCUCGACUAUAGCUUUCUUACUUGUUUAUUUAUAAUAUUGCUUUACAUUUGUUUCAGAAUUUUUACCUGCUGACAGAAAAGAAAUGAAAAAUCAUAGAAUAUUACAAAAUAAACUUGACCAAUAUUAGUUAAAUAAUAAUACAAUAAUAACAAGAGUACAUACAUAAUAAAUUUAUUAUUAUUAUUAAAAUAAGCAUGGGAUGGAAUAUGGAACUAUAGAACAGAAGAAACAGCUGUCUAUGCCAUAUAAUAAUAAUAAAUUGCACGAUAUUAUUAUUAUAAAUAAGCUAUUUAUCAUAUCAACAUUUCGCCCUAUCAACCAACCAUAUAUGUAUAUUCCUAGCCCGAUUUACAUACAUAUGUACAUACAUAUGUCAAACUGUCUCUCUAUCUAUCUCACUGUCCAACUAACAGUCUGUCUCUCCGUCCGACUCUCUGUCGGACUCUUUCAAAGGCAAAGGGACGGCAAAGGCCAGGAACGAAGAAGAACUACAAAAGAUCUCUCAAAUUGUCUAUAUGUAUGCAACAGUAUUCAUUUGGUAUUUAUAUUUAAGUGGAACGAAGUCAGAAUGCUCACAGCAGCAGAGAGUGUUCCUUCCCAUUGGUCCAUUGAAGCUCGACUGCAACGAGCUCUACCUGGCACCGGGCUCAACAUAUGAGAGCGACAUAUGAGAGUGUCUGAGUGAAAGUCGCCCUAUAUAAAGAGCAGCAGCUGCAGCAUUUCUUCAGUCGUCGAGGCCUGGUGGGACAGAGCAGUCUUGGAGGAAUCACUUGGAGGAAAUAAUCAGAGAAAUGCCUUGAGACAAUACUUGGAAGACACAAAACUUUUUGCAGAAAUACAGCACCUUGAAGAAAUAUUUUGGGAAUAUACUUACAGAACACAUA
Long non-coding RNA from Drosophila mojavensis, 916 nucleotides. RefSeq lists it as uncharacterized. The record is from RefSeq and is a predicted model, not a curated record. The transcript has 2 exons. NCBI's taxonomy places the organism in Eukaryota, Metazoa, Arthropoda, Insecta, Diptera, Drosophilidae.